GGUGAACCUGCGGAAGGAUCAUUACCGAGUGCGGGCCUUCGUGGCCCACCUUCCCACCCUUGUCUCUCUACACCUGUUGCUUUGGCGGGCCCACUGGGGCUCCCUGGUCGCCGGGGGACGCCUGUCCCCGGGCCCGCGCCCGCCGAAGCGCUUCGUGAACCCUGAUGAAGAAGGGCUGUCUGAGUACUAUGAAAAUUGUCAAAACUUUCAACAAUGGAUCUCUUGGUUCCGGCAUCGAUGAAGAACGCAGCGAAAUGCGAUAAGUAAUGUGAAUUGCAGAAUUCCGUGAAUCAUCGAAUCUUUGAACGCACAUUGCGCCCCCUGGCAUUCCGGGGGGCAUGCCUGUCCGAGCGUCAUUUCUGCCCUCAAGCACGGCUUGUGUGUUGGGUGUGGUCCCCCCGGGGACCUGCCCGAAAGGCAGCGGCGACGUCCGUCUGGUCCUCGAGCGUAUGGGGCUCUGUCACUCGCUCGGGAGGGACCUGCGGGGGUUGGUCACCACCACAUUUUCUAUUAUGGUUGACCUCGGAUCAGUAGAAUUAGA
This 541-nucleotide ribosomal RNA is filed under the name Penicillium sp. ASR-6. RNAcentral's name for it is "eukaryotic LSU rRNA". The stretch from base 203 to 356 matches the Rfam family "5.8S ribosomal RNA". Lineage: Eukaryota; Fungi; Ascomycota; Eurotiomycetes; Eurotiales; Aspergillaceae. The record is from RNAcentral.